AAAUUUUUUUAUACGCCCUUAUGGUUCUGCAGAACCAUAAGGGCGUAUAUUUUGGGAUACACCCUUAUGGUUUUAGUAACGCGAUUUAUAUAAUUUAGUUUUAAUAUAAUUCAAAAUUCAUUCACCAAA
Cotesia glomerata is the source of this 129-nucleotide long non-coding RNA. RefSeq lists it as uncharacterized. The transcript has 3 exons. NCBI's taxonomy places the organism in Eukaryota, Metazoa, Arthropoda, Insecta, Hymenoptera, Braconidae. The record is from RefSeq and is a predicted model, not a curated record.